CAUCAUUCGCCUUUACUUUCAAUCAAAGUUCAAUUAGGACAACUUAUCAAAAAAUUUCUUUUAUUUGUUGCACGAAACAAUAUUUUAGAAAAUUACUUGUCUGGUCGACAAACAAAAUUAACAACACUAGCUGUCGUUGGUCUUGAUGAAGGUGGGAGUGAUCUUGCCUAUACUAUCCAAAAGAACUUAACUCUGAGAAUUAAAUACUCAACAGACACGUUGACACAAGCCAAGACCUCCACAACGGCCACCGCGAAAUCGGCCACCAACAUCAAGUCCGCCAAAACGUCCGGCAAAACGAC
This 302-nucleotide long non-coding RNA is filed under the name Capsella grandiflora. RNAcentral's name for it is "long non-coding RNA (CGRA_LNC000191)". Lineage: Eukaryota; Viridiplantae; Streptophyta; Magnoliopsida; Brassicales; Brassicaceae. The record is from RNAcentral.